RNAcentral lists this ribosomal RNA (599 nucleotides) under Paracoccus panacisoli. Its description in RNAcentral is "bacterial SSU rRNA". Lineage: Bacteria; Pseudomonadati; Pseudomonadota; Alphaproteobacteria; Rhodobacterales; Paracoccaceae. The record is from RNAcentral.
AGUCGAGCGAGAUCUUCGGGUCUAGCGGCGGACGGGUGAGUAACGCGUGGGAAUWUGCCUCUUGGUACGGAAUAGCCUCGGGAAACUGGGAGUAAUACCGUAUGUGCCCUUUGGGGGAAAGAUUUAUCGCCAAGAGAUUAGCCCGCGUUGGAUUAGGUAGUUGGUGGGGUAAUGGCCUACCAAGCCGACGAUCCAUAGCUGGUUUGAGAGGAUGAUCAGCCACACUGGGACUGAGACACGGCCCAGACUCCUACGGGAGGCAGCAGUGGGGAAUCUUAGACAAUGGGGGCAACCCUGAUCUAGCCAUGCCGCGUGAGUGAUGAAGGCCUUAGGGUUGUAAAGCUCUUUCAGCUGGGAAGAUAAUGACGGUACCAGCAGAAGAAGCCCCGGCUAACUCCGUGCCAGCAGCCGCGGUAAUACGGAGGGGGCUAGCGUUGUUCGGAAUUACUGGGCGUAAAGCGCACGUAGGCGGACCAGAAAGUUGGGGGUGAAAUCCCGGGGCUCAACCCCGGAACUGCCUUCAAAACUAUUGGUCUGGAGUUCGAGAGAGGUGAGUGGAAUUCCGAGUGUAGRGGUGAAAUUCGUAGAUAUUCGGAGGA